Molecule: ribosomal RNA, 404 nt
Filed under: uncultured prokaryote
Description: partial 16S ribosomal RNA
Source: RNAcentral
CCCUCUGGGGUGCAGCAGGGCGAUGAACGCAUUAAGAUCAUAGUGGAAGGCGAAGAGGAUCUGGCCACGCUUCCUGCCAUCCUCUAUGCGCCGCUGGACUCCGUGGUGGUCUACGGCCAGCCCAAUGAAGGAAGCGUACUGGUUCAUGUUACUCCUGAAAGGAAGAGGCAUAUCGAAGAGUUUAUAAAGAAAAUGAGCGCGGAGGAAUGAUGAUGGAUAUACAGAUAAUUCAGUCAAAGGACAACCCCAUUCUGAAGAGAAAGGAGAUUGUAUUCAAGGUCAUUUUCGAUGAGUCUACACCAUCCCGAAAGAGCGUGGUGGAGAGGCUGGCGGCAACUGAGAACUCCAAGGUCGGACUGGUCUACGUGGACAGCCUGAAGACGGAGUUCGGCAAGCGUGAGGGC